This 66-nucleotide transfer RNA is filed under the name Cermatobius longicornis. RNAcentral describes it as "tRNA-Lys". The record is from RNAcentral. Lineage: Eukaryota; Metazoa; Arthropoda; Chilopoda; Lithobiomorpha; Henicopidae.
CAUUAGGUGGCUGAACAUAAGCCUUGGUCUCUUAAACCAUUACAUAGUAAAUUUUACUCCUAAUGA